CUACGGGUGGCUCCAGUGGGGAAUAUUGCACAAUGGGGGAAACCCUGAUGCAGCGACGCCGCGUGAGUGAAGAAGUAUUUCGGUAUGUAAAGCUCUAUCAGCAAGGAAGAAAAUGACGGUACUUGACUAAGAAGCCCCGGCGUAGCUACGUGCCAGCAGCCGCGGUAAUACGUAGGGGGCAAGCGUUAUCCGGAUUUACUGGGUGUAAAGGGAGCGUAGACGGCAUAGUAAGUCUGAUGUGAAAGCCCGGGGCUCAACCCCGGGACUGCAUUGGAAACUACUAAGCUAGAGUGCAGGAGAGGUAAGUGGAAUUCCUAGUGUAGCGGUGAAAUGCGUAGAUAUUAGGAGGAACACCAGUGGCGAAGGCGACUUACUGGACUGUAACUGACGUUGAGGCUCGAAAGCGUGGGGAGCAAACAGGAUUAGAUACCCGAGUAGUC
This 440-nucleotide ribosomal RNA is filed under the name uncultured bacterium. RNAcentral's name for it is "partial 16S ribosomal RNA". It matches the Rfam family "Bacterial small subunit ribosomal RNA", at positions 339 to 795 of the family's 1533-position model. The record is from RNAcentral.